Molecule: non-coding RNA, 225 nt
Organism: Pelobates cultripes (western spadefoot toad)
Lineage: Eukaryota; Metazoa; Chordata; Amphibia; Anura; Pelobatidae
Source: the annotation of a GenBank genome assembly
GAUACACUGAAUGUCAGUGCUACACAGUGUUCAGCACUGGCGCAGGAAGCACCUCUAGUAGCCAUCUGAAGAGUGGCCACUGGAGGUAUCCCUAGGCUGUAAUGUAAACACUGCCUAUUCUCUAUAAAGGUAGUGUUUAUGGCAAAAAGCCUGAAGGGACUGACCAUACUCAACAGCACAACUACAUUAAAGGAUCACUAUAGUGUCAGGAAAACAAAGCGGUUU